Molecule: long non-coding RNA, 309 nt
Filed under: Mytilus galloprovincialis (Mediterranean mussel)
Lineage: Eukaryota; Metazoa; Mollusca; Bivalvia; Mytilida; Mytilidae
Source: RNAcentral
CUAAAUUUUUAGAUAAGUAGUAAAACAUUUAAAUGCUGCCAGCUGUAUUAAAAUAGUGCAAAGCUUUGACGUUUUGUACAGAACUCGGUUGAAACUACGUCGAAUAACGUUACCAUUGCUAAAGUCAAAACCGAACACUACAUGCGUAACGUCAAUACCAUACUAUAACGUUAUGGACAGAAUCAGAGCUUAACUUUAUCUGCAAACGACUUUAAUGAUCAGCAAAAUCAAAUUUAAGUUAACAUUAUAUAACUAGCGAAAUCAAUUUACUAGGUUAACAAUAUAUAUAAUAUUUAUGUAAUCCCACGA